GAUGAACGCUGGCGGCGUGCCUAAUACAUGCAAGUCGAGCGAACAGACGAGGAGCUUGCUCCUCUGACGUUAGCGGCGGACGGGUGAGUAACACGUGGAUAACCUACCUAUAAGACUGGGAUAACUUCGGGAAACCGGCGCUAAUACCGGAUAAUAUAUUGAACCGCAUGGUUCAAUAGUGAAAGACGGUUUUGCUGUCACUUAUAGAUGGAUCCGCGCCGCAUUAGCUAGUUGGUAAGUUAACGGCUUACCAAGGCAACGAUGCGUAGCCGACCUGAGAGGGUGAGCGGCCACACUGGAACUGAGACACGGUACAGACUCCUACGGGAGGCAGCAGUAGGGAAUCUUCCGCAAUGGGCGAAAGCCUGACGGAGCAACGCCGCGUGAGUGAUGAAGGUCUUCGGAUCGUAAAACUCUGUUAUUAGGGAAGAACAAAUGUGUAAGUAACUAUGCACGUCUUGACGGUACCUAAUCAGAAAGCCACGGCUAACUACGUG
This 497-nucleotide ribosomal RNA is filed under the name uncultured bacterium. Its description in RNAcentral is "partial 16S ribosomal RNA". It matches the Rfam family "Bacterial small subunit ribosomal RNA", at positions 28 to 507 of the family's 1533-position model. The record is from RNAcentral.